Molecule: ribosomal RNA, 445 nt
Filed under: uncultured Pseudomonas sp.
Lineage: Bacteria; Pseudomonadati; Pseudomonadota; Gammaproteobacteria; Pseudomonadales; Pseudomonadaceae
Description: bacterial SSU rRNA
Rfam family: Bacterial small subunit ribosomal RNA
Source: RNAcentral
AUGUGGUUUAAUUCGAAGCAACGCGAAGAACCUUACCAGGCCUUGACAUGCAGAGAACUUUCCAGAGAUGGAUUGGUGCCUUCGGGAACUCUGACACAGGUGCUGCAUGGCUGUCGUCAGCUCGUGUCGUGAGAUGUUGGGUUAAGUCCCGUAACGAGCGCAACCCUUGUCCUUAGUUACCAGCACGUUAUGGUGGGCACUCUAAGGAGACUGCCGGUGACAAACCGGAGGAAGGUGGGGGAUGACGUCAAGUCAUCAUGGCCCUUACGGCCUGGGCUACACACGUGCUACAAUGGUCGGUACAAAGGGUUGCCAAGCCGCGAGGUGGAGCUAAUCCCAUAAAACCGAUCGUAGUCCGGAUCGCAGUCUGCAACUCGACUGCGUGAAGUCGGAAUCGCUAGUAAUCGUGAAUCAGAAUGUCACGGUGAAUACGUUCCCGGGCCUU